Molecule: ribosomal RNA, 510 nt
Filed under: uncultured bacterium
Lineage: Bacteria
Description: partial 16S ribosomal RNA
Rfam family: Bacterial small subunit ribosomal RNA
Source: RNAcentral
GACGAACGCUGGCGGCGUGCUUAACACAUGCAAGUCGAACGAAGAGCGACGGAAGCUUGCUUCUAUCAAUCUUAGUGGCGAACGGGUGAGUAACGCGUAAUCAACCUGCCCUUCAGAGGGGGACAACAGUUGGAAACGACUGCUAAUACCGCAUACGAUCUAAUCUCGGCAUCGAGGAUGGAUGAAAGGUGGCCUCUACAUGUAAGCUAUCACUGAAGGAGGGGAUUGCGUCUGAUUAGCUAGUUGGAGGGGUAACGGCCCACCAAGGCGAUGAUCAGUAGCCGGUCUGAGAGGAUGAACGGCCACAUUGGGACUGAGACACGGCCCAGACUCCUACGGGAGGCAGCAGUGGGGAGUCUUCCGCAAUGGACGAAAGUCUGACGGAGCAACGCCGCGUGAGUGAUGACGGCCUUCGGGUUGUAAAGCUCUGUUAAUCGGGACGAAAGGCCUUCUUGCGAAUAGUGAGAAGGAUUGACGGUACCGGAAUAGAAAGCCACGGCUAACUACGUG